Molecule: unclassified non-coding RNA, 253 nt
Filed under: uncultured Pseudobdellovibrionaceae bacterium
Lineage: Bacteria; Pseudomonadati; Bdellovibrionota; Bdellovibrionia; Bdellovibrionales; Pseudobdellovibrionaceae
Description: uncultured Bdellovibrionaceae bacterium contains 16S-23S intergenic spacer region
Rfam family: Bacterial small subunit ribosomal RNA
Source: RNAcentral
UACAGAGGCCUCAAGCGUUGUUCGGAAUUACUGGGCGUAAAGCGGGUGUAGGUGGCGCUGUAAGUCAGAUGUGAAAGCCCUAGGCUUAACCUAGGAAGUGCGUCUGAUACUGCAGUGCUGGAGUGCGAUAGAGGAAGGUGGAAUUCCUAGUGUAGGGGUGAAAUCCGUAGAUAUUAGGAGGAAUACCAAUGGCGAAGGCAGCCUUCUGGAUCGCAACUGACACUCAGACCCGAAAGCGUGGGGAUCAAACAGG